UGUGUUAUAUUCUGGACAAAAAAGGUGUGUUAUUUGAACACACCUUUUUUUAGAGUGUGAAUACGUACAAUCCAGAAAGUCAGUUUAUACAAGACCUUCGAGAGAAAGAAGUCCCUGGUAUGAAGGGAGUAGUAUCGUCAUCUAAAGGAUUACACACCAAACUACGUCAAGCUGCUCAACGGAAAAAUGGAGUAACAAAAGAACGCAAACAGUUGAUUAAAAUGGGAAAUAAGCUGAGAGCUGAAUUGUUGAAAUAUAAAGGAGGGAAAAAAUCGCCUUCAAUUGAGGCACGUCAAUCGUCCAAAGAUCCGCAGAAUGUGGCGCAAACAUCCCGAUCCCAACUACGGGGUUUGGAACAGUUGCAAUAUGAACUAACAAGCAAAGAACUGCAUGCAGUAUGCACAGAGAACACUAGCGAGGAAUAAUGAUCAGCAUUCGCUAUCUCCUCGCAAAAAAAAUUCCGCGUCGGCCCAAAACUUCAAAAACACUCUUCAAACACGGAACUCGCAGAAAAAGCAGGCCUACCGGAAUCGUCUACUGUUCGUGACGAAAUCGUCUCGCCAUGGCAACCUUCGUUCUCAUCAGACGACCGCGCGUCGUUACAAGAUGUCUGGAAACUACUAGACGAGGACAGUUCUGGAUUAACCCAUCGCGGGGACGAAGUCAGCAUGUCUCAGCUUCGGGAAAGUUUCUCAACUACGGACAGUUUCACGGUCAAAGGUCAGCCUAGUCACGUGCAUCUCAAGCCAGAGUGUUCCAAGGCUGCGCUGUCUGUCAAGGCAGCUGGGAAAUGGACACUCUCCCAGGUAAAAGCGAAGAUAAGAGAUUAUAAUAUAUAAGACGAAGAUGUUCGCGAGGGAUUGUAGAUAUUUUUAUUUACCUAUAAUAUUUGUUUUUAACAAGACCGGUCAUUCAUGGCAGUAGGAGGCUGUGUUGGGAAUUUGUGUGUUUAACCCUCACUUCCAAUCUGUCCUUAAUUAUCCAAUUUUCUUACUUACUAUUGAUCCCCAUGCAGUAAUAAUUUAUACCCAUGACGUUUGCAUGCAUUAUAAUAAUCAUUCUAUUUCCGCAUAAAAUCCAACACCCCCCCCCCUAUUAUAAUAUAAAAAGUAUUAGAAUAUAAAAGUUGUGCCUCGUUCAGUGUUCACCGUCCCAAUAAAUGUUAACUUGAUUGAAUUCUAAUUUUAACGCAACUGUUCGAAAUAUAUGUUAAAAUCUAAAGCACUAAGUUCUAUACUGUCUUUCUUGUGCGACCAGAUCUAAUGAUCUUGAUCCCCUUACAAAAACUAACUAUAGUUUCGACAAAAUAACUAUAGUUUUUUGCCUUAAAACUUUAGUUCUUCUGAACAACUAUAGUUUCAGACGAAAACACUAUAGUUAUUCGUGACACUAUAGUUUCCAAAUACAGAAACUACAGUUUUUCGAAACUAUAGUUUU
Molecule: long non-coding RNA, 1437 nt
Organism: Dendronephthya gigantea
Lineage: Eukaryota; Metazoa; Cnidaria; Anthozoa; Malacalcyonacea; Nephtheidae
Exons: 3
Source: RefSeq, a predicted model, not a curated record